UUCACGAACUCACCUCACGCUCUUUCUUUCUUUCACUGCACUGACCAGGAAAAAAAACACCCAGAAAGACGGAAAUAGGAGUGAAAGAGAGAUUCUACGGUUACCGUCACAGACUGCUGCUGCCAACAUCACACACCAUACACGCUGCUGCUUCCUUCUUACAUACACAUAUAGACUAGAGAGAGAGAGCAAUUCACGAGGAUGGUGAGGAUAAUUCCCAUGGCGUCCUCAAUACGACCUUCCCUCUCGUCGUUUAGGUUCUCCGGUGGUGUUUCCACUUCCCGCUUUGGCCUUUCCCUUUCACCCCUUCGCCUUCCUCCUCGCCUCCAUUUCUCUCAUCUUACCAGCACUGUUCCUCAGUCACAUUUCUUUGGUUUGAAAGCUUCAAAGCUUUUGAAAACUGCGGGAACCAGGGUAGUGAUGCGUCCGGUCGGAAAUGUGGUACACGCAAGCACGGCUACUGCCCAGGAAACUGCUCUAGAGUGGGUUAAAAAGGACAAAAGAAGAAUGCUCCAUGUCGUUUAUCGAGUCGGGGAUUUAGACAGGACCAUCAAAUUCUACACCGAGUGCUUGGGAAUGAAACUGUUGAGGAAACGAGACAUACCAGAGGAGAGAUACACCAAUGCUUUUCUUGGAUACGGGCCAGAAGAUUCUCACUUUGUUAUUGAACUAACUUACAAUUAUGGAGUUGACAAGUAUGAUAUUGGAACUGCAUUUGGUCAUUUUGGUAUUGCUGUUGAGGACGUUGCCAAGGCUGUGGAGCUUAUAAAGGCUAAGGGUGGAAAAGUAACCAGAGAACCUGGUCCAGUGAAAGGUGGUUCCACCGUAAUUGCAUUUAUUGAGGACCCUGAUGGUUACAAGUUUGAACUGAUUGAAAGGGGGCCUACUCCUGAACCUUUGUGCCAAGUAAUGCUCCGUGUCGGUGAUCUUGAUCGCUCCAUAACUUUUUAUGAGAAGGCCUUCGGCAUGGAGCUUCUUCGCACACGAGAUAAUCCAGAGUACAAGUAUACAAUAGCCAUGAUGGGUUACGGGCCUGAAGAUAAAAAUGCUGUGCUUGAGUUGACAUACAACUAUGGGGUCACAGAAUAUGAUAAAGGAAAUGGCUAUGCUCAGAUUGCAAUUGGCACAGAUGAUGUUUACAAAACUGCAGAGGGAAUUAAACUUUUUGGUGGAAAAAUCAUGCGUGAACCUGGACCAUUACCUGGAAUUAACACCAAGAUCACAGCAUGCUUAGAUCCUGAUGGUUGGAAGACGGUUUUUGUUGAUAAUAUUGAUUUCCUCAAGGAAUUGGAGUGAGGUUUAGAGACAUUCUGAUAUGAUCCUUUUGACACGGCAAUCCAAAUCCGAGCUGCAAGGAUUUGUGGAAGAACUCCACCAAUCCCGUUUUGUAGAUGAGUCUUCUACAGUGACAAUUGCAUAGCUUCGUGGAAGUGAAGAAACACCGAGAUGUCAGUUACAAUUUUAAUUAUAUUUUCCUUUUUUUUUUUUUUGUUUCAAUCAAAUUCACUCUCUAUGUAGGAGAGAGAAGAAUGGCACAGCAAACAUACCUGCUUAUCUUAUGUGUUUGAGGUUGAGGCCAUUCUACGAAAUCAAGGUAAUCAGAAAGUAUCUUAAAAGUCAGCAUAUAUCGCAUUUCUAUAGAUACUAGCACAUACAAAUAUCUAUUGAUUUUGUGAAAAAUAUUUUAUAUAUGUACAUUAUUGACAUUAAAUACAUUUAUAAAUAUAAAAUACUAAUCAAUUA
Gossypium raimondii (Peruvian cotton) is the source of this 1743-nucleotide RNA transcript. It is a transcript of the gene named probable lactoylglutathione lyase, chloroplastic, with no coding region annotated. The record is from RefSeq and is a predicted model, not a curated record. The transcript is spliced from 10 exons. NCBI's taxonomy places the organism in Eukaryota, Viridiplantae, Streptophyta, Magnoliopsida, Malvales, Malvaceae.